This 91-nucleotide transfer RNA is filed under the name Colletotrichum lupini. RNAcentral describes it as "tRNA-Tyr". The record is from RNAcentral. Lineage: Eukaryota; Fungi; Ascomycota; Sordariomycetes; Glomerellales; Glomerellaceae.
CUCUCCUUGGUGUAGUUGGUUCAUCACGUUCGACUGUAAUGGUUCAUCCCUUGUCAUCGAAAGGUCUCUAGUUCGAUUCUGGAAGGAGAGA